UGAUCCUAAAAACAGACAGACACCUGGCUGUGUACCUUUAAGACACAGCCGCAGAUCGACAUGCAAACUAACGGUGCCAGACGGUGGCGUGGGGGGGCCGUGGUCAAGAAUGAGCACCGAUCACGCAGUUUGAUUCCAUGAGCAGGGAAGGCCAGACGAGCCCUUCCAGUGAACCUCUGUGGACGCUAUCAUGACAAGCUGCUGCCCUUCGCUGAAAUAACCCAGCGGACCCGAAAACCAGAUGCCAGACAAAGCUAUUUUUAUGUCUUGCAAACCUAACCCAAGCAACAGCUGCCUGUUGAAAGAGUGAUCGUGGCCUUCACCACAAUGAACACGAGAAACUGCUCAGUCCUGGUGAACUCUACUUUGAAGUAACAAGUCACUGAAUCACAAAUUCAGAGGAAGCAUGAGAACAAGGUAUUCCAGGCCGGGUGCAGUGGCUCAUGCCCGUAAUCCCAGCACUUUGGGAGGCCAAGGUGAGCAGAUCACUUGAGGUCAGGAGUUCGAGACCAGCCUGGCCAACAUGGCAAAACCCCAUCUCUACUAAAAAUACAAAAAUUAGCUGGGCGUGGUAGUGCUUGCCUGCAAUCCCAGCUACUCGGGAGACUGAGACUGAGGAAUUGCUUGAACCUGGGAGGCAGGGGUUGCAGUGAGCUGAGAUUGUGCCAUCGCACUCCAGCCUGGGUGACAGGACGAGACUCUGUCUCAAAAAAAAAAAAAAAAAAAGAACAAGGUCAAAGUUUCUACUGGGAUAAGACUUCAAGGAAACCUCCAUUUCAAAAGAUUAAAAUGUUUAUUUCCCCAUGAAGACUGGGUAUCUCAUGUAAUGUAAUACUCAAAUUUCUGUCUCAGACCUAAAGGUGUUGAAAGUAUGAGCGAGUUUACACAACACCUGAGCAGGAGCAAAUAAAACUCUUAAGAGCUUCUGAAAGAAAGUUACAGAUUAGAGAUAUUUUCAUCUCUAAAUCACAUGAAUUAGGAUUGGCUGGGUCUUUCCACUUAAAACUUGGAGAAGUCAUAAAAAGAAAUCUUGUAAAGAACUCCAUGUCACUAUUAGCAGAAACAUGCAAUUUAUAAAAUGAUAUCUUUGGCCAGGCGCGGUGGCUCAUGCCUGUAAUCCCAGCACUCUGGGAGGCCGAGGCGGGCGGAUCACUUGAGGUCAGGAGAUCGAGACCAUCCUGGCUAACACAGUGAAACCCUGUCUCUACUAAAAAUACAAAAAAAAUUAGCCGGGCGUGGUAGUGGGUGCCUGUAGUCCCAGCUACUUGGGAGGCUGAGGCAGGAGAAUGGCGUGAACCCAGGAGGCGGAGCUUGCAGUGAGCACUCCAUCUCAAAUAAUAAUGAUAAUAAUAAUAUCUUCACCUUUCAGUUUUUAAAUUGCAAGUCCCAUGUCCCGGGAAUUCCCCGGUCCUGGGCAAAGUGGGAUGGUUGGUCACCCAACCUAUAUGGAUGCCCAUUGAUAUUAAAAAAUAAAAGUAAUCACAAUAGACAUGAGGGAGAGAGUUGUGUACAGUGUGAGUGUACAGAAUAAAAGGUCUGGGGGGUUUAUACCAAAAUGUGCACAGUGGCUACCUGGAGGAGGAGGGUUAGACAGGAAUAACAGCAAGGAGACUUUUGCACGGUGCUGAGUGACUUUUUAACUUGCAUAUUAUUUUGGAAUGCAUUUUUUCAACAUUGAAAGAAAGUCAUGUCUUCCUAGAAAUAUAGGAUAUAGGACCACUACAAACGCUUUACUCUUAGUCUCCUUUUUUUCUUUUUCUUUUCUUUUUUUUUUUUUUUGAGACAGAGUCUUGCUCUGUCAGUCAGGCUGGAAUGCAGUGGCGCAAUUUUAGCUCACUGCAACCCCCACCUCCUGGGUUCAAGCGAUUCUCCUGCCUCAGCCUCCCAAGUAGCUGGGAUUACAGGUGCCCAUCACCACAUCUGGCUAAUUUUUAUGUGUUUAGUACAGAUGGGGUUUCGCCAUGUUGGCCAGGCUGGUCUCGAACUCCUGACCUCAAGUGAUCCACCUGCCUCUGCCUCCCAAGGUGCUGGGUGGCAUGAGCCACCGUGCCCAGCCUUAGUCUGCUUUAAAAAAAAAAAAAAAAAAAAAAAGAACAACCAUUUGAGGAAACAGAAACAGAAUACUAUUCCUUAAGACAGUAGCUUUGGAGGCAAAAAACAGAAUUGUUUAUAAAACGUUGUGGAACUUAUAUGGGAGCAUGUCCAGGGAUCCACACCACCAUUUAUAGAAGCAAAGAAAGGCCCUUCUCUUUCAUCUGCGUUACAUUUCGAGCUCUUCUGAUUAGCUUCCUUCAAACAUGACGGGAGUCGUUUUUCCCCGGGGACCCCAAGUGCAUGCCUUCAGACAGGGUCUGCUCUCACUAUACAUUGGGUUCGAAUUUACCUGGACGUUGGCAGAAUGGUCCGGACCCCGGGGAGGGGCGAGCUGACUUACCACUUUAUUCCUGCCGCUUUUCUCUUGCCAUGUCCUCCCCACCGUGCAUUCAGGGUUACAUUUUCCAGGUUCCUUGUUUGCUGAGGGCCUGAAUCUAAGCCUGCUAGCUGCUUACUCUGGGGACUGCAAAUGUCACUUUUAGAUUAAUCAGCCCCUGCUGUUUAAAAAUAUCCCUGGAGCACUUAACCUUCAAAGCAGCAACAACCCGGGGCAAAGAUGAGAAAGAUCCCACGUCAAACCACUUGUGCAGCCCUGGCUACUCCUGGGAGAGUUCUGCUAUCUGCCUUUUAAUCCCAUAACUCGCUUUAUUUCAUAAUUCUUAGCUGUUGAAGCCAUGAGGCAUCUAAAGUCCAUGUUGUCGUAAGCAGUAGGCAGAAAGUCAUCUGGGCCCUCCUGUGACAUGCUGAAAAUUAACUGCCUACAGGUGUUGGUCAUUUGAGAAACAAGCCCCCAUUGAAAACCGUGAAUGGGAAGGUGAUCGCUAUCAGGUCACCUGGCUUCUCUCCCCUGAAAAGAUUUGGCGAAACCCUCUCAAAUCACGCCACUUAAUGGAAUGUUUCCAAUUUCUUGUGACUUGGGGAUAAAAGAAAAAAACAGCUCCAUUGCCACAUUCUCAUUCAGGGUUGACUGGCUCUUGCUAGGGUUGAGCACAGAAGAGGAAAUUCAGCACACGCUGCAGUUACAUAGUGUUCUGCAACGUGGGGAGGGCUGGCAUGUGGGACAAAGGUCGCCUCCAAGGCCCAGCUGGAGAAGCCCAGCCAACUAGGCAGCAGGAAAGUGGAGACCACAUAGGAGCACAUUGUGCUCAGGCAACAGGGAAGGUGGAACCCACUUCCUGCCAACAAUGAUGGCCUUACUAAACAGCAAGUGGAGAAACUGGCGAGAGCGCUGAGCACGGGAUCUGUGCAAAAUGGUUUAAAUGGAAAUUGCUGCUGGGGCUGGUGCAGCCUGUUCACAGCUACUUUGUUUCUGGGCUUAUUUUGCAAUAAGGAACAGUCAUUGAAUAUUGGACUUCUUGGGAUUUUCUCCACUGGACUUGGAAGCAUGUGCUCUGGAAACCUCAGCAUUAUCAGCUGUAACCCCACAGCACCAGGUACAUGUUACAGGAACCGGGGUGAAGGAAUGCAGGUCAAAUGCCUGCACAAUGCCCGGCCCGAGUCAUAUGUUCUCUAGCCACAGUAGCCCUUGUGAUGGCUCUUAGUCUAUUUAUUAAGACAAUAAAAGAGGUGACUCUCAAACAAACCUAUGUUUCCAGGGAGAGCCAUCUGUGAUUCAAGGACAUUUUUAUAAAAUUCCAUUGAAAAAAAUUCUUAGGCUUCUAACUUCAUGAAAAAAAAAUUCUUUCCCAGUGAUUCCAAAUAAUCAUGAUCUAGGCAGGGUGUUGACAGUGGCAGGACUAUUAGGCUUUGAAAUCAAGCUGAUGUGGGUUUGAAUCCUCCCUCCAUUAGCCAUGACUUUGAGCAAAUGGCUGAGCUUCAGUGUCCUCAUCAACUACUUCACCAUAUGGGUGAGAAAAUGAAAUGAUUUAUAUUGAGUUUCUGGCACAGGGGCUUGCUCAUGACAAGCACUUAAUAUCUUUCUAAUGAAAUUCAUUACUUGCAAAAAGACUAGACAUACCCACACAUACAGGUGAAGAACUCUGCAGUGAUUCAGUUCUCCCUAGACACUAUCUCUUUAAGACACAGGUAUUUUCCAGAAUAUAAUUGGAAGGCUUGAAACCAAAGUUAUUCAUAAACUCUUUCCAUCAAACACAAGAACGGUAAUAGAAAUAUAUUUCUUCAAACAGCUGUUAGUUUCAGAAAGUCACAGGUAUCAAGUUACAUUUUUUGUUUUGUUUUGUUUUGUUUUAGAAAUAGGAUCUUGCUCUGUUGCCCAGGCUGGAUGGAGUGCAGUGGCAUGAUCAUAGCUCACUGCAGCCUCGAACUCCUGGGCUCAAAUGAUCCUCCUGCCUCAGCUUCCCAAGUAGCUAGAACUACAGGCACACACCACCCCUGGCUAAUUAAAAAAAAAAAAAUUUUUUUUUUUUAAAGACAAGGUCUCAUUAUGUUGCCCAAGUUGGUCUUGAACUCCUGGCCUAAAGCGAUCUUCUUGCCUUGCCUCCUAAAGCACUGGGAUUACAGGUAUGAGCCACUGUACCUGGCCCAAAAAAAAUUAUUAAGUGACCACAUGGUCUAACAAAACAAGGCACCUGGAAAGAAAUCACCAGUCCUGCUGCAAACCGGACCCUCUGUGAGAAUUCACAUGCCUUCCCCCACCAAUUAAAUCAGAAUUUCCAGGGAUGGGGUCUGGCUUUGCAUGUUUUAGCUUCUCUAGGCUGGAGGAGCACUAGCUUCUUGUUGGAAGGCUCCCUACCUUCCUCUCCCACACCCUCACCCCAAACAUCAUUAAGAGAGACAAAAGAACAUGCUAUAUACACAACUAACAAGCAGAGAACAUAAAUUAUUGAUCUCCUGGUCUGCUCCGCUCACCAAUAUUUAUAUUUCCAAGCAUAUUUCAAAAACUUAAAAACUGGUUCCCUAGCCUGGGCAACUUAGCAAGACCCCAUUUCUAUUAAAAACUUAGCCAGGUAUGGUGGUGCAUACCAGUGGUCCCAGCUGCUCAGGAGGCUGAGGCAGGAGGAUCACCUGAACCCAGGAAGUUGAGGCUGCAGUGAGCCAUGACUGAGUCACUGUACUCCAUCUUAAGAAACAGAGUGAGACUCUAUCGCAAAAAAAAGAAAAAAAAAUUGGUUCCCAUUGACUUAAACUACAAAGGAACUUCCUGUUGUCAGACCCAAAUUACAGUGUCAGAAGGACUCUAAACAAGGAGGCCAUCUCCAGCAGAGGAAUGUUCUAGCUUUCCUCAGCUUGAGUCAGCACAAGUCAGCAUGUGAGGUCUUUUCAAAGUAACCCAGAGCACCUCCCUGCAACCUGUUUUUCCUUGCAAAUCUUGAAGGUUUGGCAAGGAUGAAAAGCCAACACCACACGCAUACGCCAAAAAGUUUGCUUCUCCACCAAACAUACUUGCGAAGACUUUUAUAUGAGAAGCAAACUGAAGCAGAAAGUGAAUUUGAACAGAGAUGUAUUAUCUAAUAAUGCAAGCAUACUAGCAACAUGCUAAAGUCUAUCUUUAAAAAAUGCAAACAAUUUAUAGUCCCUGACCUUCCCCUGCUGGAUGUAGAUCAAAAGCAGGCAGUGACUUUCACACAAUUAAUUAUUUUAUAACUGGACGUUUCCAGUACAACAUUUGCUAAUAACUGACUUCCUUGUGUUACCAAUUCCAAAAGCUGUCAGAGAUCUCCCUAACUCACCUGAAAAGGGAGGAAACAGGAAUCAUUAGGCCAGGUUCUCAGAAGCCUCCCAAACCUUGCCACGUGGAACCAUCCAGCUCCACAUCCAG
This 5812-nucleotide long non-coding RNA is filed under the name Homo sapiens (human). RNAcentral's name for it is "HSALNT0194656". The record is from RNAcentral. Lineage: Eukaryota; Metazoa; Chordata; Mammalia; Primates; Hominidae.